CACCUCCCAGGUUCACACCUGGAGAGUUUUCAGUACUCUACCAGUCUAAACUAUGGGAGGGAGAAUCACGCUGAAUAUACCCAUUCCAUUCCUAGCUUAGCCAGUGGUUAGCAAGUGGAAGGCAAUCUGCUACAGAU
Small nucleolar RNA from Tachyglossus aculeatus (Australian echidna), 137 nucleotides. NCBI's taxonomy places the organism in Eukaryota, Metazoa, Chordata, Mammalia, Monotremata, Tachyglossidae. The record is from RefSeq and is a predicted model, not a curated record.